Molecule: long non-coding RNA, 328 nt
Filed under: Homo sapiens (human)
Lineage: Eukaryota; Metazoa; Chordata; Mammalia; Primates; Hominidae
Description: HSALNT0173785
Source: RNAcentral
UCACCACCUCUAGACCCAGAAGGUCAAGAAGAGAGGUUACUGGAACCCCAAAAGGGAGAGUAUCAUGUAGAUUACGCCAAUUUGAGAGAAGUAGUGAUCUGUUGAGGCACAUGGCCAGCCUGAAGUUAUCUCAGAGGGAAGGAACAGGGGGAAUAAAUACCCUGAUUCACUCUCUUCUUCCUCCCAUCUCCUGCCUAGGCUCUCCACUGGCCCAGCUCAACAGGAAGUCAGAAGACGUGGAAGCCCAUUGAUGCAACCCAUAUACAUAAGCCUUCAAAAGGAACUGAAGAGAAAUUUUAGUCAAGAAAAGCUACAGAAUUGAAAUGAG